Molecule: ribosomal RNA, 459 nt
Filed under: uncultured bacterium
Lineage: Bacteria
Description: partial 16S ribosomal RNA
Rfam family: Bacterial small subunit ribosomal RNA
Source: RNAcentral
CCUACGGGUGGCAGCAGUGAGGAAUAUUGGUCAAUGGGCGCGAGCCUGAACCAGCCAAGUCGCGUGAGGGAAGACGGUCCUAUGGAUUGUAAACCGCUUUUGUCGGGGAGCAAAAGACGCCACGCGUGGCGUUCCGAGAGUACCCGAAGAAAAAGCAUCGGCUAACUCCGUGCCAGCAGCCGCGGUAAUACGGAGGAUGCGAGCGUUAUCCGGAUUUAUUGGGUUUAAAGGGUGCGCAGGCGGAAGAUCAAGUCAGCGGUAAAAUUGAGAGGCUCAACCUCUUCGAGCCGUUGAAACUGGUGUUCUUGAGUGAGUGAGAAGUAUGCGGAAUGUGUGGUGUAGCGGUGAAAUGCAUAGAUAUCACGCAGAACUCCGAUUGCGAAGGCAGCAUACCGGCGCUCAACUGACGUUCAUGCACGAAAGUGUGGGUAUCGAACAGGAUUAGAUACCCCUGUAGUC